Molecule: unclassified non-coding RNA, 375 nt
Filed under: uncultured Ascomycota
Lineage: Eukaryota; Fungi; Ascomycota
Description: sequence contains ITS1
Rfam family: 5.8S ribosomal RNA (bases 1-105)
Source: RNAcentral
GAAAUGCGAUAAGUAGUGUGAAUUGCAGAAUUCAGUGAAUCAUCGAAUCUUUGAACGCACAUUGCGCCUCCUGGUAUUCCGGGAGGCAUGCCUGUCCGAGCGUCAUGCAAAAACAUAAGCCUUGCCCAGUGAUUUUCUUGGGUCUAGGUUUGCUUUUGAGGGAUGAGCCCUAGCAUCUGGCUUCGCUCCCCCUAGAAUUCCAGAGGCGAACUGAAAUGAAAUCUCACCGUGGGUUUGGGGCCGUAGUAAUGAAUUGAAUUUUCUUGUCUCGCCCAUCCUGCGCGCUAGCGAUCAUCAUGACUCUUCAGCCGAUCAAACCACACCUUUACUUCUGUUUUUGACCUCGGAUCAGGUAGGGAUACCCGCUGAACUUAA